Molecule: transfer RNA, 43 nt
Filed under: Blanchardaphis poikila
Lineage: Eukaryota; Metazoa; Arthropoda; Insecta; Hemiptera; Aphididae
Description: partial tRNA-Leu
Source: RNAcentral
UGAACUUAAAAUUCAUUUAUAAAGAAUAAUCUUUUUUUAGAAA